AUUGAACGCUGGCGGCAUGCUUUACACAUGCCAGUCGAACGGUAACAGGCCUUCGGGUGCUGACGAGUGGCGAACGGGUGAGUAAUGCAUCGGAACGUACCCAGAGGUGGGGGAUAACGCAGCGAAAGCUGUGCUAAUACCGCAUGUGAUCUGAGGAUGAAAGCGGGGGACCGAGCAGCAAUGUUUGGCCUCGCGCCUUUGGAGCGGCCGAUGUCGGAUUAGCUAGUUGGUGGGGUAAAGGCCUACCAAGGCGACGAUCCGUAGCUGGUCUGAGAGGACGACCAGCCACACUGGGACUGAGACACGGCCCAGACUCCUACGGGAGGCAGCAGUGGGGAAUUUUGGACAAUGGGCGCAAGCCUGAUCCAGUAAUGCCGCGUGCGGGAAGAAGGCCUUCGGGUUGUAAACCGCUUUUGGCAGGAACGAAACGGUGUCCGCUAAUACCGGGCGCUAAUGACGGUACCUGCAGAAUAAGCACCGGCUAACUACGUG
RNAcentral lists this ribosomal RNA (492 nucleotides) under uncultured bacterium. RNAcentral describes it as "partial 16S ribosomal RNA". It matches the Rfam family "Bacterial small subunit ribosomal RNA", at positions 30 to 507 of the family's 1533-position model. The record is from RNAcentral.